RNAcentral lists this ribosomal RNA (253 nucleotides) under uncultured bacterium. RNAcentral's name for it is "partial 16S ribosomal RNA". It matches the Rfam family "Bacterial small subunit ribosomal RNA", at positions 524 to 776 of the family's 1533-position model. The record is from RNAcentral.
GACGGAGGAUGCAAGCGUUAUCCGGAAUUAUUGGGCGUAAAGCGUCCGCAGGUGGACAUACAAGUCUGCUGUCAAAGUGCAGAGCUUAACUCUGUAAAGGCGGUGGAAACUGUAGGUCUUGAGUAUGGUAGGGGUAGAGGGAAUUCCCGGUGUAGCGGUGAAAUGCGUAGAUAUCGGGAAGAACACCAGUGGCGAAAGCGCUCUACUGGGCCAUAACUGACACUGAGGGACGAAAGCUAGGGGAGCGAAAGGG